CAUCAGCUAGUUUCUCCUGUUGAUUUAACUUGUUGUAGAGAUGGAACAUUGGCUGGGGAUUAUUCUUGCUGCUCUUUUCUUUGAGUGUAAAGGAGAAGACAGAGUGAUCCAGCCACCAGGAGAUGUCAUUACUACUGAAGGAGAGACACUUACUCUUGGCUGUACAUUUGAGACAACUAGAGCAAGUCCAACUUUGUUCUGGUACAAACAAGAAGAAAAUGAUUACCCAAAGAUGCUGCUGCAACGUUUCUCUGUAAAAACUGAUAAUUCUAAAGAGAAAGAGAGAGUUGAUGCUACAAUAAAGGAUGAGUCCUUUCCUCUGGAGAUCCAGAAGCUUCAGCUGUCUGACUCUGCUGUGUACUACUGUGCUCUGCAGCCCACAGUGACAGGAAACACCAAAACUCUGUACAAAAACCUUUGUUCAUUGGAAUUCGCUGGCACCACAGAUUACAAUGAUGUGUCGACAUGA
This is a non-coding RNA of Etheostoma spectabile (orangethroat darter), 469 nucleotides long. The record is from the annotation of a RefSeq genome assembly. NCBI's taxonomy places the organism in Eukaryota, Metazoa, Chordata, Actinopteri, Perciformes, Percidae.